AACGAACGCUGGCGGCAUGCCUAACACAUGCAAGUCGAACGAGACCUUCGGGUCUAGUGGCGCACGGGUGCGUAACGCGUGGGAACCUGCCCCUAGGUUCGGAAUAACUCCCCGAAAGGGGUGCUAAUACCGGAUAAUGUCUUCGGACCAAAGAUUUAUCGCCUUUGGAUGGGCCCGCGUUGGAUUAGCUAGUUGGUAGGGUAAAAGCCUACCAAGGCGACGAUCCAUAGCUGGUCUGAGAGGAUGAUCAGCCACACUGGGACUGAGACACGGCCCAGACUCCUACGGGAGGCAGCAGUGGGGAAUAUUGGACAGUGGGCGAAAGCCUGAUCCAGCAAUGCCGCGUGAGUGAUGAAGGCCUUAGGGUUGUAAAGCUCUUUUACCCGGGAUGAUAAUGACAGUACCGGGAGAAUAAGCUCCGGCUAACUCCGUG
This 433-nucleotide ribosomal RNA is filed under the name uncultured bacterium. Its description in RNAcentral is "partial 16S ribosomal RNA". It matches the Rfam family "Bacterial small subunit ribosomal RNA", at positions 29 to 507 of the family's 1533-position model. The record is from RNAcentral.